UACGAAGGGGGCUAGCGUUGUUCGGAAUCACUGGGCGUAAAGCGCACGUAGGCGGAUUUGUAAGUCAGGGGUGAAAUCCCGGGGCUCAACCUCGGAACUGCCUUUGAUACUGCAAGUCUAGAGUCCGGAAGAGGUGAGUGGAAUUCCUAGUGUAGAGGUGAAAUUCGUAGAUAUUAGGAAGAACACCAGUGGCGAAGGCGGCUCACUGGUCCGGAACUGACGCUGAGGUGAGAAAGCGUGGGGAGCAAACAGG
This 253-nucleotide ribosomal RNA is filed under the name uncultured bacterium. RNAcentral's name for it is "partial 16S ribosomal RNA". It matches the Rfam family "Bacterial small subunit ribosomal RNA", at positions 524 to 776 of the family's 1533-position model. The record is from RNAcentral.